AAUUAUGGAUAAAACGGGUGGGUACCCAUUAAGCUAUGGGCAUUUUAGAUAACCCACGGGUACCCACGGGUACCCACACAUAUAUAUUUUAAUUACAAAAUAUAUUUUUUUAAUUAAUAUAUUUAUUUAUUUAUUUAUUUAUUUAUUCAUCCUAAAAAUUCUAACCCUAAUUUUUUAUCGUGUUACUUUUUUGUGAAACUUUUUUACUUUAAGACUUUAAAUAUUUUUAUUA
RNAcentral lists this long non-coding RNA (232 nucleotides) under Ananas comosus (pineapple). RNAcentral describes it as "long non-coding RNA (ACOM_LNC032996)". Lineage: Eukaryota; Viridiplantae; Streptophyta; Magnoliopsida; Poales; Bromeliaceae. The record is from RNAcentral.